Molecule: ribosomal RNA, 478 nt
Filed under: uncultured bacterium
Lineage: Bacteria
Description: partial 16S ribosomal RNA
Rfam family: Bacterial small subunit ribosomal RNA
Source: RNAcentral
GACGAACGCUGGCGGCGUGCUUAACACAUGCAAGUCGAACGGGAUUUAGUAGACAGAAGCCUCGGCUAAAGAUUACUAAUGAGAGUGGCGAACGGGUGAGUAACGCGUGAGCAACCUGCCUAUGACAGUGGGAUAGCCUCGGGAAACCGGGAUUAAUACCGCAUAAAAUCGUAGAAACACAUGUUUUAACGGUCAAAGAUUUAUCGGUCAUAGAUGGGCUCGCGUCUGAUUAGCUAGUUGGUGAGAUAACAGCCCACCAAGGCGACGAUCAGUAGCCGGUCGGAGAGGAUGAACGGCCACAUUGGAACUGAGACACGGUCCAAACUCCUACGGGAGGCAGCAGUGGGGAAUAUUGCACAAUGGGGGAAACCCUGAUGCAGCGACGCCGCGUGAACGAAGAAGGUAUUCGUAUCGUAAAGUUCUGUCCUAUGGGAAGAUAAUGACAGUACCAGAGAAGAAAGCGCCGGCUAAAUACGUG